This 497-nucleotide ribosomal RNA is filed under the name uncultured bacterium. Its description in RNAcentral is "partial 16S ribosomal RNA". It matches the Rfam family "Bacterial small subunit ribosomal RNA", at positions 28 to 507 of the family's 1533-position model. The record is from RNAcentral.
GAUGAACGCUGGCGGCGUGCCUAAUACAUGCAAGUCGAGCGAACAGACGAGGAGCUUGCUCCUCUGACGUUAGCGGCGGACGGGUGAGUAACACGUGGAUAACCUACCUAUAAGACUGGGAUAACUUCGGGAAACCGGAGCUAAUACCGGAUAAUAUAUUGAACCGCAUGGUUCAAUAGUGAAAGACGGUUUUGCUGUCACUUAUAGAUGGAUCCGCGCCGCAUUAGCUAGUUGGUAAGGUAACGGCUUACCAAGGCAACGAUGCGUAGCCGACCUGAGAGGGUGAUCGGCCACACUGGAACUGAGACACGGUCCAGACUCCUACGGGAGGCAGCAGUAGGGAAUCUUCGGCAAUGGGCGAAAGCCUGACGGAGCAACGCCGCGUGAGUGAUGAAGGUCUUCGGAUCGUAAAACUCUGUUAUUAGGGAAGAACAAAUGUGUAAGUAACUAUGCACGUCUUGACGGUACCUAAUCAGAAAGCCACGGCUAACUACGUG